AGUGAACGCUGGCGGCAGGCCUAACACAUGCAAGUCGAACGGCGGCACAGUAAGAGUUUGCCUUUACGGAUGGCGAGUGGCGGACGGGUGAGGAAUAUAUCGGAACCUACUCUUUCGCGGGGGAUAAUGUAGGGAAACUUACGUUAAUACCGCAUACGACCUACGGGUGAAAGCAGGGGUUUUUCGGUUCUUUCUCGAAUCAAUGUGCCGAUGGUGGAUUAGCUAGUUGGCGGGGUAAAGGCCCACCAAGGCGACGAUGCAUAGCUGAUCUGAGAGGUUGAUCGGCCACACUGGAACUGAGACACGGUCCAGACUCCUACGGGAGGCAGCAGUAGGGAAUCUUCGGCAAUGGGCGCAAGCCUGACCCAGCCAUACCGCGUGAGUGAAGAAGGACUUCGGGUCGUAAAGCCCUUUUGUUGGGGAAGAAUGGCUGUAGAUUAAUUCCCCACUGUACUGACGGUACCCAACGAGUAAGCACCGGCUAACUUCGUG
This 492-nucleotide ribosomal RNA is filed under the name uncultured bacterium. RNAcentral's name for it is "partial 16S ribosomal RNA". It matches the Rfam family "Bacterial small subunit ribosomal RNA", at positions 29 to 507 of the family's 1533-position model. The record is from RNAcentral.